AGGCAGCCUUGCUGUUUGAUAAUAAGGUAGCGAAAAAGUUGUUAAGCUGCUCAUAUAUUGAUUGGCUUUUGCUCUUCAGACUUACUAAGGUUUUUCCUUGAAGCUGGUCUAGUAAGCCCAAGCACAAU
This is a small nucleolar RNA of Hevea brasiliensis (rubber tree), 128 nucleotides long. RefSeq annotates it as small nucleolar RNA snoR77. NCBI's taxonomy places the organism in Eukaryota, Viridiplantae, Streptophyta, Magnoliopsida, Malpighiales, Euphorbiaceae. The transcript has a single exon. The record is from RefSeq and is a predicted model, not a curated record.